CCUACGGGAGGCAGCAGUGGGGAAUAUUGCACAAUGGGCGCAAGCCUGAUCCAGCCACGCCGCGUGAGUGAAGAAGGCCUUAGGGUUGUAAAGCUCUUUCACCCGUGACGAUGAUGACGGUAGCGGGAGAAGAAGCCCCGGCUAACUCCGUGCCACCAGCCGCGGUAAU
This 169-nucleotide ribosomal RNA is filed under the name uncultured bacterium. RNAcentral's name for it is "partial 16S ribosomal RNA". It matches the Rfam family "Bacterial small subunit ribosomal RNA", at positions 338 to 524 of the family's 1533-position model. The record is from RNAcentral.